UGCUAUGUUUAUAAAUGGGUUAAUCCAGUUUCUAAUGGCUGUCUCAUUGACAGCCGCUAGAGGCGCUUCCGCGUUUCUCACUGUGAUUUUCACAGAGAGAAGAUGCCAGCAUCCAUAGGAAAGCAUUGAGAAUGGAGGAGGAGAGUCCCCCGCCCCGGCGCUGGAAAAACAGGUACAUUUAACCCCUUCCACCCCCUAGAGCCCGGCGGGAGGGGGGCCCAGAGGGUGGGGGGGACCUAGAGACCCUAUAGUGCCAGGAAAACG
Non-coding RNA from Pelobates cultripes (western spadefoot toad), 264 nucleotides. Lineage: Eukaryota; Metazoa; Chordata; Amphibia; Anura; Pelobatidae. The record is from the annotation of a GenBank genome assembly.